Molecule: long non-coding RNA, 391 nt
Filed under: Zostera marina
Lineage: Eukaryota; Viridiplantae; Streptophyta; Magnoliopsida; Alismatales; Zosteraceae
Description: long non-coding RNA (ZMAR_LNC002276)
Source: RNAcentral
UCUACUACAUUAUGCUUAUUACUUAAUGUGUAACCCAUUUAUAAAUUGCAAAGAAUUUUACAACAUAGCAUAAAAAUAUUAGGCACGGUACCGCUCUCCACCGGCCGCCGAACGGUACCGUGCCUGGAUUUAUUUGACAAGGUCUACUACUAAAAACCUCUAACGGAGCACAGCCUGAACUAUACAAACGAGGACAAGCGUACACCUGUAAUAAAAAUUAUUGUAAUUGUCGUCUUGUAAUAUGAAUUUAAACAAGACUAGUGAAAAUAAUACAAUACCUCUUCGUCCAAAGACAAUUAAUGGUACGGUUCCGUCUUUUAGUUGAUCCCUCGUAACGCUGAAAAAUUACAUCAUUGCCAACGGACCGAUGGCGGAAAUAGAUUUGUUUGUU